GUAGGGAAUAUUGCACAAUGGGCGAAAGCCUGAUGCAGCAACGCCGCGUGCGCGAAGAAGGCCUUCGGGUCGUAAAGCGCUUUUCGGGGAGAUGAGGAAGGACAGUAUCCCCGGAAUAAGGCUCGGCUAACUACGUGCCAGCAGCCGCGGUAACACGUAGGAGCCUAGCGUUAUCCGAAUUCACUGGGCGUAAAGCGCGUGCAGGCGGCUCGGUAAGUUGGAUGUGAAAGCUCCUGGCUCAACUGGGAGAGGACGUUCAAUACUGUCGGGCUAGAGGGCGAGAGAGGGAGGUGGAAUUCCCGGUGUAGUGGUGAAAUGCGUAGAUAUCGGGAGGAACACCAGAGGCGAAGGCGGCCUCCUGGCUCGUACCUGACGCUCAGACGCGACAGCUAGGGGAGCAAACGGGAUUAGAAACCCGAGUAGUCC
This 426-nucleotide ribosomal RNA is filed under the name uncultured bacterium. Its description in RNAcentral is "bacterial SSU rRNA". It matches the Rfam family "Bacterial small subunit ribosomal RNA", at positions 354 to 796 of the family's 1533-position model. The record is from RNAcentral.